RNAcentral lists this transfer RNA (88 nucleotides) under Armatimonadetes bacterium RBG_16_58_9. RNAcentral describes it as "tRNA-Ser". It matches the Rfam family "tRNA". Rfam says of the family: Transfer RNA (tRNA) molecules are approximately 80 nucleotides in length. The record is from RNAcentral. Lineage: Bacteria; Bacillati; Armatimonadota.
GGAGAGAUGCGGGAGUGGUUUAUCCGGACGGUCUCGAAAACCGUUGUGCCUCCGGGCACCGUGGGUUCGAAUCCCACUCUCUCCGCCA